GACGAACGCUGGCGGCGUGCUUAACACAUGCAAGUCGAACGGAAAGGCCCGGCUUUUGUGGGGUGCUCGAGUGGCGAACGGGUGAGUAACACGUGAGUAACCUGCCUUUGACUUGGGGAUAGCUUCAGGAAACUGGGGCUAAUACCGGAUAGGAGCUCCUGCUGCAUUGUGGGGGUUGGAAAGUUUCGGCGGUUGGGGAUGGACUCGCGGCUUAUCAGCUUGUUGGUGGGGUAGUGGCUUACCAAGGCGUUGACGGGUAGCCGGGCUGAGAGGGUGACCGGCCACAUUGGGACGGAGAUGCGACCCAGACCACACCGGUAGGCAACGGUGGGGAGUAGUGUAUAAUGGGCGGAAGCCUAAUGCAGCAAAGCCGUGUGCGGGAUGACGGGAAUCUUGUUGGAAUCCGAUUUCGCUUGUGACGAAGCGUGAAUGACGGUAAUGGGUAAAGAAGCACCGGCUAACUACGUG
RNAcentral lists this ribosomal RNA (468 nucleotides) under uncultured bacterium. RNAcentral's name for it is "partial 16S ribosomal RNA". It matches the Rfam family "Bacterial small subunit ribosomal RNA", at positions 28 to 507 of the family's 1533-position model. The record is from RNAcentral.